This 468-nucleotide ribosomal RNA is filed under the name uncultured bacterium. Its description in RNAcentral is "partial 16S ribosomal RNA". It matches the Rfam family "Bacterial small subunit ribosomal RNA", at positions 28 to 507 of the family's 1533-position model. The record is from RNAcentral.
GACGAACGCUGGCGGCGUGCUUAACACAUGCAAGUCGAACGGAAAGGCCCUGCUUUUGUGGGGUGCUCGAGUGGCGAACGGGUGAGUAACACGUGAGUAACCUGCCCUUGACUUCGGGAUAACUUCAGGAAACUGGGGCUAAUACCGGAUAGGAGCUCCUGCUGCAUGGUGGGGGUUGGAAAGUUUCGGCGGUUGGGGAUGGACUGGCGGCUUAUCAGCUUGUUGGUGGGGUAGUGGCUUACGAAGGUUUUGACGGGUAGCCGGCAUGAGAGGGUGACCGGCGACAUUGGGACUGAGGUACGGACCAGACUCCAACGGGAGGCAGCAGGGGGGAGUAUUGCACAAUGGGCGGAAGCCUGAGACAGCAACGCUGGGUGCGGGAUGACGGCCUUCGGGUUGUAAACCGCUUUCGCCUGAGACGAAGCGUGAGUGACGGUAAUGGGUAAAGAAGCACCGGCUAACUACGUG